RNAcentral lists this ribosomal RNA (253 nucleotides) under uncultured bacterium. Its description in RNAcentral is "partial 16S ribosomal RNA". It matches the Rfam family "Bacterial small subunit ribosomal RNA", at positions 524 to 776 of the family's 1533-position model. The record is from RNAcentral.
GACAGAGGGUGCAAACGUUGUUCGGAUUUACUGGGCGUAAAGCGCGUGUAGGCGGCUUGGCAAGUCGGAUGUGAAAGCCCACGGCUCAACCGUGGAAGCGCAUCCGAAACUGCUUCGCUCGAGUCUCGGAGAGGAAGGUGGAAUGCUUGGUGUAGAGGUGAAAUUCGUAGAUAUUCGGAAGAACACCAGUGGCGAAGGCGGCUCACUGGCCCGGUACUGACGCUGAGGUGCGAAAGCGUGGGGAGCAAACAGG